RNAcentral lists this ribosomal RNA (253 nucleotides) under uncultured bacterium. Its description in RNAcentral is "partial 16S ribosomal RNA". It matches the Rfam family "Bacterial small subunit ribosomal RNA", at positions 524 to 776 of the family's 1533-position model. The record is from RNAcentral.
UACGUAGGGGGCUAGCGUUGUCCGGAAUCAUUGGGCGUAAAGAGCGUGUAGGCGGCCAAACAGGUCCGUUGUGAAAACUGGAGGCUUAACCUCCAGACGUCGACGGAAACCGUGUGGCUAGAGUCCGGAAGAGGAGAGUGGAAUUCCUGGUGUAGCGGUGAAAUGCGCAGAUAUCAGGAAGAACACCAAUGGCGAAGGCAGCUCUCUGGGACGGUACUGACGCUGAGACGCGAAAGCGUGGGGAGCGAACAGG